UCAAAGCAAUUUAUUUAGGAACCUUUCU
Molecule: non-coding RNA, 28 nt
Filed under: Rattus norvegicus (Norway rat)
Lineage: Eukaryota; Metazoa; Chordata; Mammalia; Rodentia; Muridae
Source: RNAcentral